Pelobates cultripes (western spadefoot toad) is the source of this 475-nucleotide non-coding RNA. The record is from the annotation of a GenBank genome assembly. NCBI's taxonomy places the organism in Eukaryota, Metazoa, Chordata, Amphibia, Anura, Pelobatidae.
GUUUUUGUUAUCCUGAAGUGGCUGUUGUUGUUCUGAGUGGCUGUGGCAAUAUACACUUUUUAUUUCUUUUUAGCACAAAAUGUCUGUUGAUAUAAAUAUUCUGACAAUUUAAAAUUACAGAAGAUGGUAAAUGGGGUGAACUACCUAAAGUGAAUAUCCAACUGGCCCAGUUUUCUAAAAAAAAAUUACAAAUAUAUAUGUAUUAAGGCUGUUUGGCCUGUAUUUGUGGGAGGGGCUUAAAUUAAAUAACUCCCCUAUAAAAGGUACACCCCUUACCUGACUCCAUAACGAUCAAGGUCAGCGUCUGAAAGAACUUCUGGGUCAUCCAGUCGCCAUUUUGGAAUACCUCAGUCUUCUCACCAGGUCUUCCACGAUGAGCUGUGUCUAGGAAUCCAGCAGCAGGCCUUUUUCUGUCCGACCAGCUUCUUCCAUCGCCGUAGAUCAUGUCCUAGUGACUCACAAACCGUAAGUUGAC